Molecule: ribosomal RNA, 269 nt
Filed under: uncultured bacterium
Lineage: Bacteria
Description: partial 16S ribosomal RNA
Rfam family: Bacterial small subunit ribosomal RNA
Source: RNAcentral
GUCCACGCCGUAAACGAUGCGCACUAGGUAUGAGAGGUUCUGACGCCGCUCGUGCCGAAGGAAACUAUUUAGUGCGCCGCCUGGGGAGUACGGCCGCAAGGCUAAAACUCAAAGGAAUUGACGGGGGCUCACACAAGCGGUGGAGCAUGUGGAUUAAUUCGAAGCAACGCGAAGAACCUUACCUGGGUUUGACAUGCUGGGAUGCCGUCCUGGAAACAGGAGCCGGUUGCCUUCGGGUGAAACCAGCACAGGUGCUGCAUGGCUGUCGU